RNAcentral lists this ribosomal RNA (447 nucleotides) under uncultured bacterium. Its description in RNAcentral is "bacterial SSU rRNA". It matches the Rfam family "Bacterial small subunit ribosomal RNA", at positions 329 to 792 of the family's 1533-position model. The record is from RNAcentral.
UGCCAGACUCCUACGGGAGGCAGCAGUGGGGGAUAUUGCACAAUGGGGGAAACCCUGAUGCAGCGACACCGCGUGGGUGAGGAAGCGCUUCGGCGUGUAAAGCCCUAUCAGUGGGGAAGAAAAAGGACGGUACCCAAAGAAGAAGCACCGACUAAAUACGUGCCAGCAGCCGCGGUAAUACGUAUGGUGCAAGCGUUAUCCGGAUUUACUGGGUGUAAAGGGAGCGCAGACGGCAGUGCAAGUCUGGAGUGAAAGCCCGGGGCCCAACCCCGGGACUGCUCUGGAAACUGUACGGCUAGAGUACGGGAGGGGCAGGCGGAAUUCCUAGUGUAGCGGUGAAAUGCGUAGAUAUUAGGAGGAACACCAGUGGCGAAGGCGACUUUCUGGACUGUACCUGACGCUGAGGCGCGAAAGCGUGGGUAGCGAACGGGAUUAGAUCCCCUCGUA